This 502-nucleotide ribosomal RNA is filed under the name uncultured bacterium. RNAcentral describes it as "partial 16S ribosomal RNA". It matches the Rfam family "Bacterial small subunit ribosomal RNA", at positions 899 to 1397 of the family's 1533-position model. The record is from RNAcentral.
ACUCAAAUGAAUUGACGGGGGCCCGCACAAGCGGUGGAGUAUGUGGUUUAAUUCGACGCAACGCGAAGAACCUUACCAACCUUUGACAUGUCCAGUAUGGGUCUAGGAGACUAGAUCCUUCAGUUCGGCUGGCUGGAACACAGGUGCUGCAUGGCUGUCGUCAGCUCGUGUCGUGAGAUGUUGGGUUAAGUCCCGCAACGAGCGCAACCCUCAUCUUUAGUUGCCCCCGGGUCAGGCCGGGCACUCUAAAGAAACCGCCGGUGACAAGCCGGAGGAAGGCGGGGAUGACGUCAAGUCCUCAUGGCCCUUACAGGUUGGGCUACACACGUACUACAAUGGUGGUGACAGAGGGCAGCGAACCCGCGAGGGGGAGCUAAUCCUCAAAAGCCAUCUCAGUUCGGAUUGCACUCUGCAACUCGGGUGCAUGAAGUUGGAAUCGCUAGUAAUCGCAGAUCAGCACGCUGCGGUGAAUACGUUCCCGGGCCUUGUACACACCGCCCGU